Molecule: ribosomal RNA, 428 nt
Filed under: uncultured bacterium
Lineage: Bacteria
Description: partial 16S ribosomal RNA
Rfam family: Bacterial small subunit ribosomal RNA
Source: RNAcentral
GUGGGGAAUAUUGGGCAAUGGGCGAAAGCCUGACCCAGCAACGCCGCGUGAGGGAAGAAGGCCUUCGGGUUGUAAACCUCUGUCCUUGGUGACGAAAAAAAUGACGGUAGCCAAGGAGGAAGCCCCGGCUAACUACGUGCCAGCAGCCGCGGUAAUACGUAGGGGGCGAGCGUUGUCCGGAAUUACUGGGCGUAAAGGGUGCGUAGGUGGCCUUUUAAGUUGGAUGUGAAAUACCCGGGCUUAACUUGGGGGGUGCAUCUAAUACUGGAGGGCUAGAGUGCAGGAGAGUGAAGCGGAAUUCCUAGUGUAGCGGUGAAAUGCGUAGAUAUUAGGAGGAACACCAGUGGCGAAGGCGGCUUUCUGGACUGUAACUGACACUGAGGCACGAAAGCGUGGGGAGCAAACAGGAUUAGAUACCCCAGUAGUCC